CUGGCGGCGUGCCUAACACAUGCAAGUCGAACGGAGAUGCAUUGGCGGAGACUCGGUCAACAACGGUGUAUUCUUAGUGGCGGACGGGUGAGUAACGCGUGAGCAAUUUGCCUUCAGAGGGGGAUAACAGAUUGAAAAGUCUGCUAAUACCGCAUAACGUGCGACGGGGGCAUCCCCGACGUACCAAAGGAGCAAUCCGCUGAGAGAUGAGCUCGCGUCUGAUUAGAUAGUUGGUGAGGUAACGGCCCACCAAGUCGACGAUCAGUAGCCGGACUGAGAGGUUGAACGGCCACAUUGGGACUGAGACACGGCCCAGACUCCUACGGGAGGCAGCAGUGGGGAAUAUUGCACAAUGGGCGCAAGCCUGAUGCAGCAACGCCGCGUGAGGGAAGACGGUCUUCGGAUUGUAAACCUCUGUCCUUGGUGACGAAACAAAUGACGGUAGCCGAGGAGGAAGCCACGGCUAACUACGUGCCAGCAGCCGC
This 485-nucleotide ribosomal RNA is filed under the name uncultured bacterium. Its description in RNAcentral is "bacterial SSU rRNA". It matches the Rfam family "Bacterial small subunit ribosomal RNA", at positions 36 to 518 of the family's 1533-position model. The record is from RNAcentral.